GAAACGCGAUAGGUAAUGUGAAUUGCAGAAUUCCGUGAAUCAUCGAAUCUUUGAACGCACCUUGCGCUCCAUGGCAUUCCGUGGAGCAUGCCUGUUUGAGUGCCGCGAAAUCUCCCACCCCUAGCGGUUGCCGCAAGGCGCCGCCGGGCGGCGGGGUUGGUUGGGUGCCGCUGCCUGGGCUUUGGCCCAGGCUCGCCCGAAAUGCAUGAGCGCUUAGCACUCGCACCGUCUCGAGGGAAGGCGGCGGAGCUGGCAUCUGCGCAUGGCAUGAUACGUCAUUUGCUGUGUGGCAGCCCAGCGACCCGAGAGUGUGUGUGCGCUACUACACGCCCUUUCAUUUCUGGUCUCAAAUCAGGUAGGAUCACCCGCUGAACUUAA
Molecule: unclassified non-coding RNA, 378 nt
Filed under: uncultured Malasseziales
Lineage: Eukaryota; Fungi; Basidiomycota; Malasseziomycetes; Malasseziales
Description: sequence contains ITS1
Rfam family: 5.8S ribosomal RNA (bases 1-105)
Source: RNAcentral